Molecule: unclassified non-coding RNA, 943 nt
Filed under: Hevea brasiliensis (rubber tree)
Lineage: Eukaryota; Viridiplantae; Streptophyta; Magnoliopsida; Malpighiales; Euphorbiaceae
Source: RNAcentral
AAACCUCAAUCACAAACAUGCCCUUAAUGUUACAUGAAAAGCUCUAGUUGAUCAUAUUGGCUGAUCAUAAUUGAUUCGUCAUCGUAUUAUUUCCUCUGCAAGUAAAAUAGUUCAAGCUACAUUCCUAAACAAUGUACUAUAUAUAAAUGAUUAUACUUGCAAAUUAAAUUGCAAAGUUUCAAGCAGAGCUAUUCUCUACCUUCAAUUUUUUCAUCUAAUGUACCAUGCAAUUUACAUUAUUUUAUUUAUAUCAGAGGAAACUUUGUCUACACUUCAACUUUCUACCUUCUAAAACAUUGGAUUCUUGAUGUUUCCCGUUGUUCCCUAACUUUCAACAUUGUCCCAAUCAAGGGAUUCAUUUUCGUAGUCAUGUUCUAACUCCUGAAGCCUGUUGUAGGCCAACCGGCUCAUCAUACUGAGACCUUCAAUUAUUCUGUACAAAGACAACCACCAUCUUUCUCUGGGAACCUGGUACCGUUGUAGUGUAUCAUCUAUUACUUCAUUGUGCUUCCCCUCCAGGACAUGCUGCAAAGUUAUCACUGCAUCUUUUGUUUUUUGGAGUAUAUUGUUCUCUUCUCCGCUAACUAAACUUUGAAGAUCAUUCUGUGAGAGGCUGACUGCAAGGGCGAACUGGGCAGCAGCAGCCCAUCUUGAUGAGGCUAUCCAUCUCCCAUGGCCAUCUGGCCUGUUGGUCACUUUAUUUAAUUUUUCUUUCCUCUCAAAUACUAAGCUACGCAAGUACUGAGCGUUUGCAGGUCCUGUACUUUGAACCAUCCUAGAGAAUGCACUUCCUUCAUUUGAUAGCAGCUCCUUUGGAGUAGCAUGUUCUAAGACCUGACCAGCAUCAAGCACUAGAAUUCUGUCACAAUCGAUUAUGGUAUUUAGUCUGUGUGCAAUAACAAGCAUUGUGCAGGAUUUAAAUUCUUCUCGAAUGGUUUUCUGA